RNAcentral lists this ribosomal RNA (492 nucleotides) under uncultured bacterium. Its description in RNAcentral is "bacterial SSU rRNA". It matches the Rfam family "Bacterial small subunit ribosomal RNA", at positions 29 to 507 of the family's 1533-position model. The record is from RNAcentral.
AUGAACGCUAGCUACAGGCUUAACACAUGCAAGUCGAGGGGAAACGAUAUUGGAAGCUUGCUUCCGAUAGGCGUCGACCGGCGCACGGGUGAGUAACGCGUAUCCAACCUGCCCAUCACUUGGGAAUAACCUUGCGAAAGUAAGACUAAUGCCCAAUGACAUUUAUAGAAGGCAUCUGAAAUGAAUUAAAGAUUUAUCGGUGAUGGAUGGGGAUGCGUCUGAUUAGCUUGUUGGCGGGGUAACGGCCCACCAAGGCGACGAUCAGUAGGGGGUUCUGAGAGGAAGGUCCCCCACAUUGGAACUGAGACACGGUCCAAACUCCUACGGGAGGCAGCAGUGAGGAAUAUUGGUCAAUGGGCGAGAGCCUGAACCAGCCAAGUAGCGUGCAGGAUGACGGCCCUAUGGGUUGUAAACUGCUUUUAUAAGGGAAUAAAGUGAGCCUCGUGAGGCUUUUUGCAUGUACCUUAUGAAUAAGGACCGGCUAAUUCCGUG